RNAcentral lists this ribosomal RNA (254 nucleotides) under uncultured bacterium. Its description in RNAcentral is "partial 16S ribosomal RNA". It matches the Rfam family "Bacterial small subunit ribosomal RNA", at positions 8 to 224 of the family's 1533-position model. The record is from RNAcentral.
AGAGUUUGAUCCUGGCUCAGGAUGAACGCUGGCGGCAUGCCUAAGACAUGCAAGUCGAACGAGAUGGCCCAGUGAAGGUUGCGUGCUUGCACAAGACUGAAUCUGGAUCACCAUCUAGUGGCAGACGGGUAAGUAACACGUGGGUGACCUACCUUUUCGUUGGGGAUAACAGUUGGAAACGAUUGCUAAUACCGAAUAAAAUAUAAAAGCCAAUUUUAUAUUGAAAAGGGAGCCUUUAAAAGCUUCGCGAUUAG